UGCUAAUACCGAAUGUUGUCAGAUUCCCGCAUGGGAGUUUGAUUAAAGAUGGCCUCUACUUGUAAGCYAUCGCUUUGSAUGGGUCUGCGUCUGAUUAGCUAGUUGGUGGGGUAACGGCCUACCAAGGCAACGAUCAGUAGCCGGUCUGAGAGGAUGAACGGCCACAUUGGAACUGAGACACGGUCCAGACUCCUACGGAGGCAGCAGUGGGGAAUCUUCCGCAAUGGGCGAAAGCCUGACGGAGCAACGCCGCGUGAGUGAAGAAGGGUUUCGGCUCGUAAAGCUCUGUUGACGGGGACGAACGUGCGAGAUGCGAAUAGUUUCUUGCAAUGACGGUACCCGUCGAGGAAGCCACGGCUAACUACGUGCCAGCAGCCGCGGUAAUACGUAGGUGGCGAGCGUUGUCCAGAAUUAUUGGGCGUAAAGGGAGCGCAGGCGGGAAGGCAAGUCAGUCUUAAAAGUGCGGGGCUCAACCCCGUGAUGGGAUUGAAACUGUCUUUCUUGAGUGCAGGA
Molecule: ribosomal RNA, 513 nt
Filed under: uncultured rumen bacterium
Lineage: Bacteria
Description: bacterial SSU rRNA
Rfam family: Bacterial small subunit ribosomal RNA
Source: RNAcentral